This 274-nucleotide ribosomal RNA is filed under the name uncultured bacterium. RNAcentral describes it as "partial 16S ribosomal RNA". It matches the Rfam family "Bacterial small subunit ribosomal RNA", at positions 523 to 796 of the family's 1533-position model. The record is from RNAcentral.
AUACGGAAGGUGCAAGCGUUAAUCGGAAUCAUUGGGCGUAAAGAGCGCGUAGGCGGGAAUGCAAGUCAGGUGUGAAAUUCCAGAGCUCAACUCUGGAGCUGCACUUGAUACUACAUACCUAGAGGAUAGGCGGAGAGAGCGGAAUUCCAUGUGUAGCGGUGAAAUGCGUAGAUACAUGGAGGAACACCCGUGGCGAAGGCGGCUCUCUAGCUUACUCCUGACGCUAAGGCGCGAAAGCAAGGGGAGCAAACAGGAUUAGAAACCCCGGUAGUCC